This 2325-nucleotide ribosomal RNA is filed under the name Scutigera coleoptrata (house centipede). RNAcentral describes it as "eukaryotic LSU rRNA". It matches the Rfam family "Eukaryotic large subunit ribosomal RNA", at positions 85 to 1897 of the family's 3401-position model. Lineage: Eukaryota; Metazoa; Arthropoda; Chilopoda; Scutigeromorpha; Scutigeridae. The record is from RNAcentral.
AACGGCGAGUGAACAGGGAAGAGCCCAGCGCCGAAGCCUCCGUCCCGCGCGGGCGGCAGGCAAUGUGGCGUUCGGGAGAAACCUCUCCUUCCGGAAACUGUCCGGGAGCCCAGGUCCCCCUGACCGGGGCCAUCGCCCGUUGAGGGUGCAAGGCCCGUGCGGCUCUUGGCGUCCGGAGGACGGUUUUUUUCUCCCGGGAGUCGGGUUGCUUGGGAGUGCAGCCCUAAGAGGGUGGUAAACUCCAUCUAAGGCUAAAUACUUCCACGAGACCGAUAGCAAACAAGUACCGUGAGGGAAAGUUGCAAAGAACUUUGAAGAGAGAGUUCAAGAGUACGUGAAACCGCUCGUAGGUAAACGGGUGGGCCCUCGAAGGCAAGCAGGAGGGGAUUCAACCCGUUGGCAAUCGACCGUGCGCCGCGGUUUUUCUCGAAACGGAUCCGAGAGACCGGCCCGUGGCGCCGCGGUCGUCAGCGGGCGCACUUCCCCUUCUCGCGUCCCGUCCUUCUGGGCGGGACCGAACGCCGCGACCGGUCGGGAGAAACGACGGCGGCCAAGCGGCGAGAUUGGGCAGGUAUCCUACUCGUCCUUUCUGUUUUUCCCUUCGGGGUUGGCAGGAUUGCUUGUAGGAGAGCUUUCAGCCCGUCUCGACCCGGCUCCGCCGCCCGACCGUGGUCUAGAACCGAGGUUCGACAACCGCGCAUGCGCUUUGACGCUCGAGCCCGUCCCGCACGUAGGGUUUUCUGGCCGCCGAUAGAUCCAUAAAACCUCCCCCCCGCUCACGGCGGUUACACGAAGCGGUCGCCCUGCGUUGUGUACCCCUUUAGGACGUGUGCUCUCGUUUUUUGUUCCAAAAAAAGCAGCGCUUGUGGUCGGCGGCGAGUAGGUCGGUAACCCACCCGACCCGUCUUGAAACACGGACCAAGGAGUCUAACAUGUGUGCGAGUCGUAGGGUUCGUCCGAAACCCGAAGGCGCAGUGAAAGUAGAGGUCGGCUCUAUGCUCGGCCGAGGCAGGAUCCGUCGUUCUCUUUCCUUUUACCCGGGCACAUUCCCCUAACUCCGGUUAGGGUGUGUGUUUUUUUGGUCUGUAACUGGAAGUCGGCGGCGCACUGCCGGCCCGUCUCGACCGCCACGUCGGUGAGGCGGAGCAAGAGCACACACGUUGGGACCCGAAAGAUGGUGAACUAUUCCUAGGCAGGACGAAGCCAGAGGAAACUCUGGUGGAGGUCCGUAGCGUUUCUGACGUGCAAAUCGAUCGUCAGACCUGGGUAUAGGGGCGAAAGACUAAUCGAACCAUCUAGUAGCUGGUUCCCUCCGAAGUUUCCCUCAGGAUAGCUGGCUCUCGAGACACACAGUCUCAUCCGGUAAAGCGAAUGAUUAGAGGCCUUGGGGCCGAAACGACCUCAACCUAUUCUCAAACUUUCAAUGGGUGAGAAGUCCGGCUUGCUCGACUGAAGCCCGGACGAUAACGGAUGCGAGUGCCCAGUGGGCCACUUUUGGUAAGCAGAACUGGCGCUGUGGGAUGAACCAAACGCCGGGUUACGGCGCCAAAUGCGACGCUCAUCAGACACCAUGAAAGGUGUUGGUUGCUAUAGACAGCAGGACGGUGGCCAUGGAAGUCGGAAUCCGCUAAGGAGUGUGUAACAACUCACCUGCCGAAGCAACUAGCCCUGAAAAUGGAUGGCGCUCAAGCGUCGAGCCUAUACCCGGCCGCCGGGGCAGAGCCCGUCCAAACGGCCCCAGAAGCCCCGGCGAGUAGGAGGGUCGCGGCGGUGAGCGGAAAAGGGUCGGGCGCAGGCCCGCCUGGAGCCUCCGCCGGUGCAGAUCUUGGUGGUAGUAGCAAAUACUCGAGUGAGAACCUUGAGGACUGAUGUGGAGAAGGGUUCCAUGUGAACAGCAGUUGAACAUGGGUCAGUCGGCCCUAAGGAAUAGGGAAAUCCCGUUCCGAACGGGGGGUUGGUACAUAAACAAAAUUUUCCAAAAGAAAAAAAACCCCCGCCCAGACCGAAAGGGAAUCGGGUUAAUAUUCCCGAACCCGGACACGGAGAUCGGGCCCUUUGUGGUCCAGUGCGGUGACGCAAACAUCCUCGGAAACGUCGACGGGAGUUCCGGGAAGAGUUGUCUUUUCUUUGUAAGGGACGGAAUCCCUGGAAUCGGUUCGCCCGGAGAUAGGGAUGUGGUUUCCGUAAAGCACCGCGCCUCCUGCGGUGUCCGGACAGCUCUCGUCGGCCCUUGAAAAUCCGAGGAAGGUAGUGCGAUUUUCGUGCCGGGCCGUACCCAUAUCCGCAGCAGGUCUCCAAGGUGAACAGCCUCUAGUCGAUAGAUCA